GUAGGUGGCAAGCGUUGUCCGGAAUUAUUGGGCGUAAAGCGCGCGCAGGUGGUUCUUUAAGUCUGAUGUGAAAGCCCCCGGGCUCAACCGGGGAGGGUCAUUGGAAACUGGGGAACUUGAGUGCAGGAGAGGAAAGUGGAAUUCCACGCGUAGCGGUGAAAUGCGUAGAUAUGUGGAGGAACACCAGUGGCGAAGGCGACUUUCUGGCCUGUAACUGACACUGAGGCGCGAAAGCGUGGGGAGCAAACAGGAUUAGAUACCCUGGUAGUCCACGCCGUAAACGAUGAGUGCUAAGUGUUGGGGGGUUUCCGCCCCUCAGUGCUGCAGCUAACGCAUUAAGCACUCCGCCUGGGGAGUACGGCCGCAAAGACUG
RNAcentral lists this ribosomal RNA (373 nucleotides) under uncultured organism. RNAcentral describes it as "partial 16S ribosomal RNA". It matches the Rfam family "Bacterial small subunit ribosomal RNA", at positions 527 to 896 of the family's 1533-position model. The record is from RNAcentral.